This 910-nucleotide ribosomal RNA is filed under the name Hypotrachyna aff. intercalanda MAF-Lich DNA 2218. RNAcentral's name for it is "eukaryotic LSU rRNA". It matches the Rfam family "Eukaryotic large subunit ribosomal RNA", at positions 71 to 943 of the family's 3401-position model. The record is from RNAcentral. Lineage: Eukaryota; Fungi; Ascomycota; Lecanoromycetes; Lecanorales; Parmeliaceae.
GGGAUUGCCUCAGUAACGGCGAGUGAAGCGGCAACAGCUCAAAUUUGAAAUCUGGCCCCUCCGGGGUCCGAGUUGUAAUUUGUAGAGAGUGUUUCGGGCGAGGCCAUGGUCUAAGUCUAUUGGAACAUUGCGUCACAGAGGGUGAGAAUCCCGUAUGUGACCGUGGCUCGAGCCCAUGUGAAACCUCUUCGACGAGUCGAGUUGUUUGGGAAUGCAGCUCAAAAUGGGUGGUAAAUUUCAUCUAAAGCUAAAUACUGGCUGGAGACCGAUAGCGCACAAGUAGAGUGAUCGAAAGAUGAAAAGCACUUUGGAAAGAGAGUUAAACAGUACGUGAAAUUGUUGAAAGGGAAGCGCUGGCAACCAGACCUGCCCGUAGGCGAUCAGCCGCUGUUCUCAGCGGUGCACUCGUUCUGCGAUCAGGCCAGCAUCGGUUUCGGCGGUCGGAUAAAGGCCCGGGGAAUGUGGCUUCCUUUUGGGGGAGUGUUAUAGCCUCGGGCGCAAUGCGGCCAGUCGGGACCGAGGACCGCGCUUCGGCUAGGAUGCUGGCGUAAUGGUUGUCAGCGACCCGUCUUGAAACACGGACCAAGGAGUCUAACAUCUAUGCGAGUGUUUGGGUGUCAAACCCAUACGCGGAAUGAAAGUGAACGGAGGUGAGAACCCUUUCGGGGGCGCAUCAUCGACCGAUCCAGAUGUCUUCGGAUGGAUUUGAGUAAAAGCAUAUCUGUUGGGACCCGAAAGGUAUGUUGAAUCUUAUCCCAUCCCUUUUAGAGUAUAUACUAAUCUAUAACGCAGAUGGUGAACUAUGCCUGAAUAGGGUGAAGCCAGAGGAAACUCUGGUGGAGGCUCGCAGCGGUUCUGACGUGCAAAUCGAUCGUCAAAUUUGGGUAUAGGGGCGAAAGACUAUCGACAU